This 665-nucleotide ribosomal RNA is filed under the name uncultured archaeon. RNAcentral's name for it is "bacterial SSU rRNA". It matches the Rfam family "Archaeal small subunit ribosomal RNA", at positions 691 to 1353 of the family's 1478-position model. The record is from RNAcentral.
CCGACGGUGAGGGGUGAAAGCUGGGGGAGCAAACCGGAUUAGAUACCCGGGUAGUCCCAGCUGUAAACUAUGCAAACUCGAUGAUGCGUUGGCUUAUUGCUAGCGCAGUGUCGCAGGGAAGCCGUUAAGUUUGCCGCCUGGGAAGUACGUACGCAAGUUAUGAAACUUAAAGGAAUUGGCGGGGGAGCACCACAAGGGGUGAAGCCUGCGGUUCAAUUGGAGUCAACGCCUGAAACCUUACCCGGAGAGACAGCAGAAUGAAGGUCAAGCUGAAGACUUUACCAGACAAGCUGAGAGGUGGUGCAUGGCCGUCGCCAGCUCGUGCCGUGAGAUGUCCUGUUAAGUCAGGUAACGAGCGAGAUCCCUGCCUCUAGUUGCCACUAUUACACCCUGGUGUAGUAGGGCGAAUUAGGGGGACCGCCGCAGUUAAUGCGGAGGAAGGAAGGGGCCACGGCAGGUCAGUAUGCCCCGAAACUCUGGGGCCACACGCGGGCUGCAAUGGUAACGACAAUGAGUCCCGAAAUCGAAAGAUAGAGGUAAUCCCUAAACGUUACCACAGUUGUGAUUGAGGGCUGCAACUCGCCCUCAUGAACAUGGAAUCCCUAGUAACCGCGUGUCAUUAUCGCGCAGUGAAUACGUCCCUGCUCCUUGCACUCACCGCCCGU